RNAcentral lists this ribosomal RNA (497 nucleotides) under uncultured bacterium. RNAcentral describes it as "partial 16S ribosomal RNA". It matches the Rfam family "Bacterial small subunit ribosomal RNA", at positions 28 to 507 of the family's 1533-position model. The record is from RNAcentral.
GAUGAACGCUGGCGGCGUGCCUAAUACAUGCAAGUCGAGCGAACAGAUGAGGAGCUUGCUCCUCUGACGUUAGCGGCGGACGGGUGAGUAACACGUGGAUAACCUCCCUAUAAGACUGGGAUAACUUCGGGAAACCGGAGCUAAUACCGGAUAAUAUCUUGAACCGCAUGGUUCAAUAGUGAAAGACGGUUUUGCUGUCACUUCUAGAUGGAUCCGCGCCGCAUUAGCUAGUUGGUAAGGUAACGGCUUACCAAGGCAACGAUGCGUAGCCGACCUGAGAGGGUGAUCGGCCACACGGGAACUUGGACACGGACCAGACUCCUACGGGAGGCAGCAGUAGGGUAUCUUCCGCAAUGGGCGAAAGCCUGACGGAGCAACGCCGCGUGAGAGAUGAAGGUCUUCGGAUCGUAAAACUCUGUUAUUAGUGAAGAACAAAUGUGUAAGGAACUAUGCACGGCUUGACGGUACCUAAUCAGAAAGCCACGGCUAACUACGUG